GCUUAUACAUNNGUCUCGAACGNNNAANCUCCUUCGGGAGGGGAUUAAUGGCGAACGGGUGAGUAACACGUGGGCAAUCUGCCCUUCACUCUGGGACAAGCCCUGGAAACGGGGUCUAAUACCGGAUACGACACGGGGUCGCAUGACCUCCGUGUGGAAAGCUCCGGCGGUGAAGGAUGAGCCCGCGGCCUAUCAGCUUGUUGGUGGGGUGAUGGCCUACCAAGGCGACGACGGGUAGCCGGCCUGAGAGGGCGACCGGCCACACUGGGACUGAGACACGGCCCAGACUCCUACGGGAGGCAGCAGUGGGGAAUAUUGCACAAUGGGCGAAAGCCUGAUGCAGCGACGCCGCGUGAGGGAUGACGGCCUUCGGGUUGUAAACCUCUUUCAGCAGGGAAGAAGCGAAAGUGACGGUACCUGCAGAAGAAGCGCCGGCUAACUACGUGCCAGCAGCCGCGGUAAUACGUAGGGCGCAAGCGUUGUCCGGAAUUAUUGGGCGUAAAGAGCUCGUAGGCGGCUUGUCACGUCGGAUGUGAAAGCCCGGGGCUUAACCCCGGGUCUGCAUUCGAUACGGGCAGGCUAGAGUUCGGUAGGGGAGAUCGGAAUUCCUGGUGUAGCGGUGAAAUGCGCAGAUAUCAGGANNAANNCNGGUGGCGAAAGCGGAUCUCUGGGCCGAUACUGACNCUGAGNANCGAAAGCGUGGGGAGCGAANA
RNAcentral lists this ribosomal RNA (713 nucleotides) under Streptomyces sp. LK2334.5. RNAcentral describes it as "partial 16S ribosomal RNA". It matches the Rfam family "Bacterial small subunit ribosomal RNA", at positions 46 to 774 of the family's 1533-position model. The record is from RNAcentral. Lineage: Bacteria; Bacillati; Actinomycetota; Actinomycetes; Kitasatosporales; Streptomycetaceae.